Molecule: ribosomal RNA, 508 nt
Filed under: uncultured bacterium
Lineage: Bacteria
Description: bacterial SSU rRNA
Rfam family: Bacterial small subunit ribosomal RNA
Source: RNAcentral
GAGUUUGAUUCUGGCUCAGGACGAACGCUGGCGGCGUGCUUAACACAUGCAAGUCGAACGAAGAGCGAUGGAAGCUUGCUUCUAUCAAUCUUAGUGGCGAACGGGUGAGUAACGCGUAAUCAACCUGCCCUAGAGUGGGGGACAACAGUUGGAAACGACUGCUAAUACCGCAUAAGCCCACGGUACCGCAUGAUACUGAGGGAAAAGGAUUUAUUCGCUUUAGGAUGGACUCGCGUCCAAUUAGCUAGUUGGUGAGGUAACGGCCCACCAAGGCGACGAUUGGUAGCCGGACUGAGAGGUUGAACGGCCACAUUGGGACUGAGACACGGCCCAGACUCCUACGGGAGGCAGCAGUGGGGGAUAUUGCACAAUGGGGGAAACCCUGAUGCAGCGACGCCGCGUGGAGGAAGAAGGUUUUCGGAUUGUAAACUCCUGUCGUUAGGGACGAUAAUGACGGUACCUAACAAGAAAGCACCGGCUAACUACGUGCCAGCCGCCGCGGUAAUAC